AACGAACGCUGGCGGCGCGCCUAAUACAUGCAAGUCGAGCGAGAAGACGUAGCAAUACGUUUGUAAAGCGGCGAACGGGUGAGGAAUACAUGGGUAACCUACCCUUGAGUGGGGAAUAACUAGCCGAAAGGUUAGCUAAUACCGCAUACGACUCUCGGUCUGCGGAUCGGGAGAGAAAGCGAUACCGUGGGUAUCGCGCUCUUGGAUGGGCUCAUGUCCUAUCAGCUUGUUGGUGAGGUAACGGCUCACCAAGGCUUCGACGGGUAGCUGGUCUGAGAGGACGAUCAGCCACACUGGCACUGCGACACGGGCCAGACUCCUACGGGAGGCAGCAGUAAGGAAUAUUGCGCAAUGGGCGACAGCCUGACGCAGCGACGCCGCGUGGGGGAUGAAGGUCUUCGGAUUGUAAACCCCUUUCGGCAGGGAAGAUGGAACGGGUAACCGUUCGGACGGUACCUGCAGAAGCAGCCACGGCUAAUUCGUG
RNAcentral lists this ribosomal RNA (484 nucleotides) under uncultured bacterium. Its description in RNAcentral is "bacterial SSU rRNA". It matches the Rfam family "Bacterial small subunit ribosomal RNA", at positions 29 to 507 of the family's 1533-position model. The record is from RNAcentral.